UAGGGAAUCUUCGGCAAUGGACGAAAGUCUGACCGAGCAACGCCGCGUGAGUGAAGAAGGUUUUCGGAUCGUAAAACUCUGUUGUUAGAGAAGAACAAGGACGUUAGUAACUGAACGUCCCCUGACGGUAUCUAACCAGAAAGCCACGGCUAACUACGUGCCAGCAGCCGCGGUAAUACGUAGGUGGCAAGCGUUGUCCGGAUUUAUUGGGCGUAAAGCGAGCGCAGGCGGUUUCUUAAGUCUGAUGUGAAAGCCCCCGGCUCAACCGGGGAGGAUCAUGGGAAACUGGGAGACUUGAGUGCAGAAGAGGAGAGUGGAAUUCCAUGUGUAGCGGUGAAAUGCGUAGAUAUAUGGAGGAACACCAGUGGCGAAGGCGGCUCUCUGGUCUGUAACUGACGCUGAGGCUCGAAAGCGUGGGGAGCAAACAGG
Molecule: ribosomal RNA, 429 nt
Filed under: Gemmatimonadota bacterium
Lineage: Bacteria; Pseudomonadati; Gemmatimonadota
Description: Gemmatimonadetes bacterium partial 16S ribosomal RNA
Rfam family: Bacterial small subunit ribosomal RNA
Source: RNAcentral